AAUCAACGCUGGCGGCGUGCCUCAGACAUGCAAGUCGAACGCGAAAGUUCCCUUCGGGGGGCGAGUAGAGUGGCGCACGGGUGAGUAACACGUAGGUAAUCUACCUUUGGGUGGGGAAUAACAGCCGGAAACGGCUGCUAAUACCGCAUAAUGCAGCGGCUCGACAUCGAGACAGUUGUUAAAGCGGGGGAUCGCAAGACCUCGCGCCUAAAGAGGAGCCUGCGGCGGAUUAGCUUGUUGGUGAGGUAAUGGCUCACCAAGGCAUCGAUCCGUAGCCGGCCUGAGAGGGCGGUCGGCCACACUGACACUGACAUACGGGUCAGACUCCUACGGGAGGCAGCAGUCGGGAAUUUUGGGCAAUGGGCGCAAGCCUCGACCCAGCAACGCCGCGUGAAGGAUGAAAUCCCUCGGGAUGUAAACUUCG
Molecule: ribosomal RNA, 424 nt
Filed under: uncultured bacterium
Lineage: Bacteria
Description: bacterial SSU rRNA
Rfam family: Bacterial small subunit ribosomal RNA
Source: RNAcentral